CUGGAGAGUUAUGCUACCUUGGACAUACCCAAUUUCAUCUGGUUUCAGAAGCUAAGCAGGGUCAAACUUGGUCAGUACGCGCGUGGAAACCCACAAGAGAAUGCCAACGAGGACUAGA
RNAcentral lists this ribosomal RNA (118 nucleotides) under Pogona vitticeps (central bearded dragon). The record is from RNAcentral. Lineage: Eukaryota; Metazoa; Chordata; Lepidosauria; Squamata; Agamidae.